ACACUGGAUAAUAAACUAAAAGAUAAAACCGAGUAUACUAAUUUGAAAUAUGAUUAAAAGGGACCAAAAGCAAUUCAUUUUGACCGUUAUUUGUUAUGGAUUUACUUUUAACAUGACAAUUUGAUAAACUCGGGAGCUUCACUGUAGGUGUUUAAGUUUGUUUGUGUGCUAAAGUUAUUUUCGAAUCAGUUACAGUCCAAAUUAAAUCGAAAAGGAAAUGGGGAAAAGAUAAGCUUAGAAAAUCUAGUAAAUAUAUGGAGUGUUUUACGAGGUAUAG
Hydra vulgaris (swiftwater hydra) is the source of this 277-nucleotide non-coding RNA. NCBI's taxonomy places the organism in Eukaryota, Metazoa, Cnidaria, Hydrozoa, Anthoathecata, Hydridae. The record is from RefSeq and is a predicted model, not a curated record.